CGAACGCCAAGUUAUAUAACUCAUCACUGUAAGUAGGGAAAUUCGAUGAUUUCAACUUAUUCACCUAAUAUAAUACAAAACCAUUCACAUGUUAGUCUGACAAAAUUAAAUACUACAAUUUAUAUUUGUCAAAUACAAAACACUUAUAACUUACAGAAUCCAAAAACCAUUGUGGAAACAAUUCACGGUGUUUCUGGGCAACUAAAUGUGAUGGAUGUUCUCGCUUCAUCAUCUCUUCAUGCUCAUCUAAGUAUGCCAUUAUCUCAUCACAAUUGUUCAGUACGA
This 285-nucleotide long non-coding RNA is filed under the name Prunus persica (peach). RNAcentral's name for it is "long non-coding RNA (PPER_LNC004547)". Lineage: Eukaryota; Viridiplantae; Streptophyta; Magnoliopsida; Rosales; Rosaceae. The record is from RNAcentral.